RNAcentral lists this unclassified non-coding RNA (251 nucleotides) under uncultured Eurotiales. RNAcentral's name for it is "sequence contains 5.8S rRNA gene, ITS2, 28S rRNA gene". The stretch from base 1 to 52 matches the Rfam family "5.8S ribosomal RNA", at positions 103 to 154 of the family's 154-position model. The record is from RNAcentral. Lineage: Eukaryota; Fungi; Ascomycota; Eurotiomycetes; Eurotiales.
AACGCACAUUGCGCCCCCUGGUAUUCCGGGGGGCAUGCCUGUCCGAGCGUCAUUGCUGCCCUCAAGCACGGCUUGUGUGUUGGGCCCUCGUCCCCCGGGACGGGCCCGAAAGGCAGCGGCGGCACCGCGUCCGGUCCUCGAGCGUAUGGGGCUUCGUCACCCGCUCUUGCAGGCCCGGCCGGCGCCAGCCGACCCCCCUCAAUCUUUCUCAGGUUGACCUCGGAUCAGGUAGGGAUACCCGCUGAACUUAA